UCACAUCCUUGUGUGCUUCUCGUGCCUUCCUCACUUUAUACACCUGUUCUCUCAUGUGACUCUCUCUCUCUACCUUGCUCUUAAUUCCUUCUGGUUUAGUUCUACUCCUACCUCCUUCAUCUUCAUACACACACCAUAGUUAGUAGUACUCUUAAUAAUUAAUAACUCUUCUUUGUCAUUAGUACUUUCUGGUUAAUAUCUGAGUGGAUAACUACUCUCUGAGAUGAUGCCCCCUGAGCAAGAAACAACUAUUGCAACAAACAUUCCAGCCAUCACAACCCGACAAGAGACCAGCUCGGUCCACCAUGAAUCAGAGGGUUCAAACACUAACAAAAUCAAACCAAGUUUAGAAUUGGAUGAUAAUGGCAUUCCUCCGCAGCAACAGACUCAGCCAACAACACCACCACCACCAUCAAGAUUUUCCGUUCUUCACCAAUCCUUACGCCCCAUUACCCUCAAAUUUGAAGACGUAUCCUACACUAUAACCUUCGAAAGCCAAAAGAAGAAGGGUUGCGUCUUACGUAAAGAAUCAAAGCUAAGAAGAAAAGUCCUCACCGGAGUGACUGGAGUAGCGAACCCCGGCGAGCUAACGGCAAUGCUGGGUCCCUCCGGCAGCGGCAAGACGACCCUCUUAACCGCCCUGGCCGGAAGACUCGCCGGAAAAGUCUCCGGCACCAUAACCUACAACGGCCACACCGACCCCACCUUCGUGAAACGCAAGGUAGGGUUCGUUCCCCCAAGAGGACGUUCUCUACCCUCACCUCACAGUGUUGGAAACCCUAACCUACGCAGCGCUGUUGAGGCUUCCGAAGAGUUUGAGCAGAGAAGAGAAGAAGGAGCACCCGCGUAGAUGUGUGAUCACGGAGCUAGGGCUAACACCGGUGUCGUUAAUAGUCCCGUUGGAGGGUGCAUGGCUCUGUUCCGUGGCAUUUCGGGUGGGGGAACGGAAACGGGUCCAGUAUCGGGCAGGAGAUGUUGGUCAACCCGAGUUGUUGUUUGUUGAUGAGCCCCACCUCGGGCUUGGACUCCACCACGGCCCAACUUAUUGUGUCGGUGCUCCGCCGGGCUCGCCUUGGCGGGUCGAACCGUCGUCACCACCAUCCACCAGCCCUCCAGCCGGUUGUAUAGGAUGUUUGAUAAGGUGGUCGUGUUGUCGGAUGGGUACCCAAUUUAUAGCGGGCAGGCGGGUCGGGUCAUGGACUAUCUCGGAUCCGUCGGAUAUGUCCCAGCUUUCAACUUCAUGAACCCAGCAGAUUUCCUUCUUGACCUUGCUAAUGGGGUAGUUGCUGAUGUCAAACAUGAUGAUCAGAUAGACCACCAUGAGGAUCAAGCUUCAGUCAAACAAUCCCUAAUGUCAUCUUUUAAGAAGAACUUAUAUCCUGCUCUUAAAGAAGACAUUCACCAAAACAAUACUGAUCCGUCAGCUCUUAUAUCAGGAACACCUAGACGCUGUGAUAACCAUUGGACCUCUAGCUGGUGGGAGCAAUUCAGGGUGCUUCUUAAGAGGGGUUUACAAGAGAGGAGGCAUGAAUCUUUUUCUGGCUUAAGGAUUUUCCAAGUCUUGUCUGUAUCCAUUCUCUCAGGACUUCUGUGGUGGCACUCUGAUCCUUCACAUGUACAAGAUCAGGUUGGACUCCUUUUCUUCUUCUCCAUCUUCUGGGGAUUCUUCCCUCUCUUCAAUGCCAUCUUUGCCUUCCCUCUGGAGAGGCCAAUGCUAAUAAAAGAAAGAUCAUCAGGGAUGUACAAACUCUCCUCAUACUAUGCUGCUAGGAUGGUGGGAGAUUUACCAAUGGAGCUAGUGCUUCCUACCAUCUUUGUAACUAUCUCCUAUUGGAUGGGUGGUCUCAAUCCUUCAUUGGUCACAUUUGUGCUAACACUCUUGAUCAUGCUUUUCAAUGUUCUAGUCUCUCAAGGCAUAGGCCUAGCACUUGGGGCCAUUCUCAUGGAUGUGAAGCAGGCCACAUCACUAGCUUCAGUGACCAUGCUGGUAUUUCUCUUGGCUGGUGGAUACUACAUUCAGCAAAUGCCGGCUUUUAUAGCUUGGUUGAAGUACAUUUCUUUCAGCCACUACUGCUAUAAACUACUAGUAGGAGUCCAGUAUUCAGUAAAUGAGGUAUACGAGUGUGGACAAGGGUUGCAUUGUAGGGUAAGAGAUUUUCCUGCCAUAAAGUGUUUGGAGCUUGAGGAUACUAUGUGGGGAGAUGUGGCUGCAUUGACUGUAAUGUUGAUUGGAUACAGAGUUGUGGCAUAUCUAGCCUUGAGGAUGGGGCAGCCUCACUGACCAAGACUUGACAAAUUAGAGACCAUGUUAUUAAUUUUCAAGUUUGGUUGUUUUAAUUAAUCACCCCUCAGUUAAUGUGGUGAUUCGAUUCAAAUUGUACGGUGAAUAUCUUAAGUCCUUGUGAUUAAUUGACAUAAAUGAAGCAAUCAAAAUUUGUUGAGUAUAGUCCAAUUUUUUUGUGACCAGAUAGACUCCAGCUAGUGUUUUAUCAAGAGGGGAAUAGUUUAUUGCUGCCAUCAAAAGGUGAUUUUGGAUCUUUAUGGGCACAUAAUUAUUGUUUCAAUUUGGAACAUAUCAUAAAGUGAAUGCGUAUUCUCUCAGCAUAUGUAUUUGGCCUUGUUUAUAUUAUGGGCACAUACUAUUGUUCA
This is an RNA transcript of Glycine soja, 2649 nucleotides long. It is a transcript of the gene named ABC transporter G family member 21-like, with no coding region annotated. Lineage: Eukaryota; Viridiplantae; Streptophyta; Magnoliopsida; Fabales; Fabaceae. The transcript is spliced from 5 exons. The record is from RefSeq and is a predicted model, not a curated record.